GACACACACAUAUAUGUACAUAUGUAUACACACAUAUGUGUGUAUACAUGUAUUUAUGCGAAGGGAUUAAAAA
RNAcentral lists this microRNA precursor (73 nucleotides) under Ochotona princeps (American pika). Its description in RNAcentral is "miRNA (ENSOPRG00000018864.1)". Lineage: Eukaryota; Metazoa; Chordata; Mammalia; Lagomorpha; Ochotonidae. The record is from RNAcentral.